RNAcentral lists this ribosomal RNA (808 nucleotides) under uncultured organism. RNAcentral's name for it is "bacterial SSU rRNA". It matches the Rfam family "Bacterial small subunit ribosomal RNA", at positions 506 to 1320 of the family's 1533-position model. The record is from RNAcentral.
UGCCAGCAGCCGCGGUAAUACGGAGGAUGCAAGCGUUAUCCGGAUUUAUUGGGUUUAAAGGGUACGUAGGCGGGAGCUUAAGUCAGUGGUGAAAUCCUGCAGCUUAACUGUAGAACUGUCAUUGAUACUGGGCUUCUUGAAUGUAGUUGAGGUAGGCGGAAUGUGUAAUGUAGCGGUGAAAUGCUUAGAUAUUACACAGAACACCGAUUGCGAAGGCAGCUUACUAAACUACGAUUGACGCUGAGGUACGAAAGCGUGGGGAGCGAACAGGAUUAGAUACCCUGGUAGUCCACGCUGUAAACGAUGAUCACUCGUUGUUGGCAAUACACCGUCAGCGACUGAGCGAAAGCAUUAAGUGAUCCACCUGGGGGGUACGACCGCAAGGUUGAAACUCAGAGGAAUUGACGGGGGCCCGCACAAGCGGAGGAGCAUGUGGUUUAAUUCGAUGAUACGCGAGGAACCUUACCUGGGCUUAAAUGUAGAACGACGGACCGGGAAACUGGUCUUUCUUCGGACGGUCUGCAAGGUGCUGCAUGGCUGUCGUCAGCUCGUGCCGUGAGGUGUCGGGUUAAGUCCCAUAACGAGCGCAACCCUCAUCAUUAGUUGCCAGCGGGUAAUGCCGGGGACUCUAAUGAAACUGCCGGUGUAAACCGAGAGGAAGGUGGGGAUGACGUCAAGUCAGCACGGCCCUUAUGUCCAGGGCUACACACGUGUUACAAUGGUCGGUACAAAGGGCAGCUACCUGGCGACAGGAUGCUAAUCUCGAAAACCGAUCUCAGUUCGGAUCGAAGUCUGCAACUCGACUUCG